RNAcentral lists this long non-coding RNA (1738 nucleotides) under Homo sapiens (human). RNAcentral's name for it is "long non-coding RNA NONHSAT173326.1". Lineage: Eukaryota; Metazoa; Chordata; Mammalia; Primates; Hominidae. The record is from RNAcentral.
GGGAUUACAGGCGUGAGCCACCGCGCCCGGCCAAUUUCUAAGGCUCCAUUAGGGCUAAGGUUCAUGUAUCCAUGGUGAAGUAUAGAAGAACUCAGAAUCGUUCCAAACAUAAUGGGCUUGGAGUAAUGGAGAACUCCAAGGGCAGGAGGUAACCAUUAAAGAGGACCAUCAUGUAGUGUGAGGAGUCAACAUUUCACACUAGAAAGCCCUUGGUUCAAGUUUUGUCUCUGCCACCUACAGAUUUUGUAACCCUGAGAGAAAAGGAAAAUCCUACGGAGGAGGGGCUCUGAUGGCUUUGAAGAAGGCAGUGAAUGGCCACAUGUUCCCUGAGGACAGCACAGGCUAAAGGCUCAGCUAGAAGAAAGGCACAGAGAUAGCAAGGUCGAAACUAGCUACCUCUUUAUGUACUGCCCUAUGGAGAGGCACACAUGUCAAGAAACUGAGGGAGUGCCUUCCAGUCAACAGCCAGCCAGGAACUAAGGUGCUCAGUACAGCAGCCUCCACAAAGGACUGAACAAUGCCAACAGCUAUUUGACUGUGCUUGGAAGAUCUCCGUUUAGUUAACCCUUCAGAUGAGACCGCAGCCCUGGCCAGCAAACAAAUUGCAGCCUAUGGAAAGACCUUAAGGCAGAAGCACCCAACUGAACCACCCGAGGGCUCUGACUUACAGAAACUGUGAGCAGAUAGUGAAAUGGCCUCUACCUUAUUUUGAAUGGAUUUCUGGGAUAAAGUUCUUCAGUGAUAACAUGUUUGAAGAGGUCGAUUCACUUGUUUUUUUCCAUAGGUUUCAGGAAAGAGGCACUGGCCUUUACUUCUCCACCUCGAUUCACUUCCAUGCUGUUGACAAAUGUUAUAGUUGCCCAGGAUCAGAGGGAGAGACUGACCCUGUGACCAUUUCCCCAAAGGCGGCCUUUGGCCACUCCGUGCACUGGAGCACAUGACCCUCUGCCUCGCCCCUGCCACAUUAACCAGGCGGCUAUCUUAUGUGCCCAUGUUACAUGCUCAUGAUAAAGCUGCAUUUCCUGAGGGGACACCAAUGGAUACACCUCUGCCUGGCACGCAGCUUAGAGGCUAAAUGUAUGAAAAGCAACACCAUGCAAAUCAUUUUGAAACUGCUGUGGAACUCUCACGGGACCCUCCAUUCUAGACAUCCAGUCCCACUAGUGAUCUGACCAUGAAACCUACUAAGAGACUUCCAGAAGAAGAUGACCUCUGAAAGGAGAAAACUUUCUUCCAAGCUUCUGUGGAACAAGAAGAUGCCAUCCCUUUGGUGGAGCCCAAAGGGAAACCAGGACACUGAAGGAAUUAACCAGAAAGAAAAGAAGAGAAGAAGGAGAAGAAAGAAGAAGAAGAAGAAGGAGAAGGAGAAGGAGACGAGGGAAGAGGGAGAAGAGAGAGAAGAGGGAGGAAAAGAAGAAGAAGAAGAAGAAGAAGAAGAGGAAGAAGGGGAGGAAGGAGAAAGGAGGAAGGAGGAGGAGGAGAAGAAGAAGAGGAGGAGGAAGAAGAAAAUGGAGAUCAUUUGUACAAAUCUUGAAACCAAAGCACAGCCUGUAUGAACCCAUGUUGAACCCUGGACUUUCAGGACUACUGUAUGGCUAACCACAGCCCUGCAAGGCCAGGCUCAGCAUGUCACAGUUUUGCCACUGAACAAGAAUCUUUCGAAGGAUCGCAAAUACUACAUGGAAAAUGACUGUAUUCUUUCUGCAAGGCCACUCUCUUAGACAUCACCCUAACAAAA